RNAcentral lists this ribosomal RNA (496 nucleotides) under uncultured bacterium. RNAcentral's name for it is "partial 16S ribosomal RNA". It matches the Rfam family "Bacterial small subunit ribosomal RNA", at positions 29 to 507 of the family's 1533-position model. The record is from RNAcentral.
AUGAACGCUGGCGGCGUGCCUAAUACAUGCAAGUCGAGCGAACAGACGAGGAGCUCGCUCCUCUGACGUUAGCGGCGGACGGGUGAGUAACACGUGGAUAACCUACCUAUAAGACUGGGAUAACUUCGGGAAACCGGAGCUAAUACCGGAUAAUAUAUUGAACCGCAUGGUUCAAUAGUGAAAGACGGUUUUGCUGUCACUUAUAGAUGGAUCCGCGCCGCAUUAGCUAGUUGGUAAGGUAACGGCUUACCAAGGCAACGAUGCGUAGCCGACCUGAGAGGGUGAUCGGCCACACUGGAACUGAGACACGGUCCAGACUCCUACGGGAGGCAGCAGUAGGGAAUCUUCCGCAAUGGGCGAAAGCCUGACGGAGCAACGCCGCGUGAAUGAUGAAGGUCUUCGGAUCGUAAAACUCUGUUAUUAGGGAAGAACAAAUGUGUAAGUAACUAUGCACGUCUUGACGGUACCUAAUCAGAAAGCCACGGCUAACUACGUG